Molecule: ribosomal RNA, 253 nt
Filed under: uncultured bacterium
Lineage: Bacteria
Description: partial 16S ribosomal RNA
Rfam family: Bacterial small subunit ribosomal RNA
Source: RNAcentral
UACGUAGGGUGCGAGCGUUAAUCGGAAUUACUGGGCGUAAAGCGUGCGCAGGCGGUUAUAUAAGACAGAUGUGAAAUCCCCGGGCUCAACCUGGGAACUGCAUUUGUGACUGCAAGGCUAGAGUACGGCAGAGGGGGAUGGAAUUCCGCGUGUAGCAGUGAAAUGCGUAGAUAUGCGGAGGAACACCAAUGGCGAAGGCAAUCCCCUGGGCCUGUACUGACGCUCAUGCACGAAAGCGUGGGGAUCAAACAGG